UUUGCAAGUGAUGACAACAUAGACAGGGACAUCUGCACUCUCAUUGAGUUUGAUGACAGUGUCUUGGGAAUAAUAUUUAUCUGAUGCAAU
This is a small nucleolar RNA of Dendrobium catenatum, 90 nucleotides long. RefSeq annotates it as small nucleolar RNA R44/J54/Z268 family. The record is from RefSeq and is a predicted model, not a curated record. The transcript has a single exon. Lineage: Eukaryota; Viridiplantae; Streptophyta; Magnoliopsida; Asparagales; Orchidaceae.